CGAGAAGGACCGUCAACAGAGCUUCUUACUACCACUCUUUGGACAAGUAGACAAGCAUGUCUAGGAUGCCUUAGAGAGGGUGUUCUGUCAUGGUCCUGCCGGUGCAGCCCUGGCUGUGCGGGUGGCCGCACUGAUUGGGAUGCGCACACCUGCGCCUCAUCCUGGCUGAUUGGCCCCGGCUGACUCCCUUGAUACUCCUGCCUGCUGUGAUCGUUCUCCUGUGUACCGACUCCUGCCUGCCCGCUGACCUGCUCUCUACGCCCAACGUCCCGACUACUGCUGAUCCCGACCUUGUAAUAAUAAAUGUUUUUCCUGAA
Molecule: long non-coding RNA, 317 nt
Organism: Syngnathoides biaculeatus (alligator pipefish)
Lineage: Eukaryota; Metazoa; Chordata; Actinopteri; Syngnathiformes; Syngnathidae
Exons: 3
Source: RefSeq, a predicted model, not a curated record